GAUAACUGUACGAAGGAUGAAAAGGAAGGAAACUUGUCACACCCGAAUUUAAGGGGUAAACGCGGGUACAUCUUAUAUGUGCGCUAAAGAAGAACAACCCAUAUAAUGACCAAGUGUAUAGAGAUAAAUAUCGCAAACAUUUUUACAAAGUGGAAGUGUCUUAUAAAGAUAAAUCAUAACAAUAAACCGAACUAAUAUUAUUUCCUUGGCGCCAUUAAGUCAACUGGGAGACGACUCCUAGACCUCGUCAAACUCCUCGUAGCAGUCGUCCUCCUGGGCUACCUGCUCUUCACCUGUGGGGGGGAGAGUUUUAUCGCAGGAGUGAGCUCACAAAAGUUCAUCGCUCAGCAAGUGUGGGGAAUAAUGUGUAUAAGCUCACCAAAAGCGGGGGGCUCAUGUAUGGUAUUAGGCUGAUCAAUAAAUAAUGGUUAAGGCAAAGCAUUGCUUUUAAUAAGUUGGUCAAGUUUUAUUAGCAGUUACUAAGUAUAAGUAAAUACCAACCUAAAUAAUGAGAGAUCAAAAUUAAUAAAUAAACCACAAUGCGAUGCAAAUGACCAAUUAAGUUUAAUUCCAUAAGUUACUCAUGUGAGGGUCCGAGCCGCUCAUGACCGUGAGCACGACCGAUAUACCAGUUUUAUACUCUGUAGAGGUUGCACAUCUUUACCCAUAAGUCAUGUUACCCAUCUGCCAUGGGGUUGUACGGACCCCAUACACCUCUACGAAGGAGGCGAGGCAGGGUAGCACUACGAGGCCUUUAUAAAGUUCCAUUAGCUUUAGAAAACCCGCUACAUUUUCUGAGGAGAGCAAUAUAGGAAUCCCCUAUCUGAAAAGACAUCGCAGUAAGAUCAACCUGAGAACCACCCUACACCGACACUCCCCUACCGCCCUUGCCCCUUUUGGGUAAGGUAGUCCUCCACUAGCUUUCCUAAUUAGUCACCAAGGGUGUCCCAUACCACCCUUGUAGUAGCACUGUUUUCUUGGGUGGUUCUCCAUGUUCUAAUUAACAUAAUGAUCUUGUCAUGAACAAUAAAUAACUCAUUGGCAAUGAAUAGCAUGAUCAUGAAUAAUGUGUAUCUUAACACCUAAAACCACAUAAAGCAAUAGCACAUACUACCCAAAAGUUCAAUGGUAAACAAGGUAUAAAGAUGACCAAUCUAGGAUGACCUAUUGGGUCCCAGCAAAAUUAACCUAUGCAGAUCAUAAUGAUUAACAAGAACAUUAUUGGAUAAAGAAAAGUGAUCAAGGGCACAACUUGCCUUCAAUGAGCUCCUGCUCGGAGUUUUCCACCUGCUGAGUACCAGGGUCCUCGGUCACUUGUUCGUCUACUCGCAACAAUACAAAGAAACAUGGUAUAGGACAUAUUAACAUCAUACCAAACAUAAGAACAUACCGCAUAAUAAUGUUCUACGCAUCGUAACGAGAUCGCAGGUUCGAGAACCACUAAAUUUGGAGUUACGAUUAAAGAGUUAUGAUUUUUUGAUGAUUUAGGUGUGGGACAUAAAACAAAUUAAGUGCAUGAUUUUAACCAUAUGUUUCAUAACAAAAUAAGGUUACUAGAAGAUAAACAAUAUUAAUAUGAAUUUAAUGCAUCUGGAAUGGAUAAAAAGGAGUUAAAAAUGAAUUACUUAUGAAUUAAACAAGUUUCUAAAAUUAUUUCUAUACUAAAAAACAUUUUCUGAAUUAAUUUAUUCCAUUUAUUCACUUCCUGGGCUGUGACUAGGAUUUUCUAAUAGCUCAAGGUCUAUUUUGUGAAUUUCAGGGCCUAGUCAUAAUUUCUUUUGAACUAAUCUGGAUGGCAGGUUGAUAACUAAAUUAGGUAGGGGCCCUUUUACAAAGCGUCACGGUUGAAGGGGUAUCCUUCAAUUCUGGCCGUCGCUUAAAUGAAUCGGUGCGCUUGUGUAUAUGGUUAGAUCAUGAUCCAACGACCAGAUUUAAAGGCGCGAGGUGUCGCGACUAGAGCCGUAUAUCGGCCGAUCUACAACUAUCAUUGAAUCGAACGAAUCGUUAUGAGGGAUCUAAUCCUACCCGUCCAUUUUCUAAUCUACGCCACAGAGUUCAUCUUCCCCCAUGCCGGUGCAGACACAGCGGCAGCCAUCGCACCGCGGGGGCGCCAUGGACGGCCAUGACCACACCGGCCCUUUAGUGAGCCAAACUCCACGCUAAGAGCUCCUACACAAUGUGGUAACCAUGGCCAGAUUGAUGGGAGGGGUCUCACCGUCGGUAGAGUUGACGGCGAGCCAUGUUGGCAUCGCAGCACGGUUCCGCCUCGAGGGAUUGGCUCCGGCGAGCAUUUCCCAGCACUUCGACCACCGUUUUCGCCUAGGAAGACCUUCUUCGCGCGCGGCGCUCACCGACGAAGACCCCUAGCUCACUAUUGUGGCUCGUCACCGGUGCACGCGCAAGGUCGUCGAUGGUGGACGUUGAUUUCCCUCUCUCUCACGGUGCUUGCUUUGCGAUAGCUAGGGUUUGGGUAACGGCGCACGUCCACCUUAUAUCGGAA
Molecule: long non-coding RNA, 2500 nt
Filed under: Zea mays
Lineage: Eukaryota; Viridiplantae; Streptophyta; Magnoliopsida; Poales; Poaceae
Description: long non-coding RNA (ZMAY_LNC003225)
Source: RNAcentral